Molecule: long non-coding RNA, 690 nt
Filed under: Monodelphis domestica (gray short-tailed opossum)
Lineage: Eukaryota; Metazoa; Chordata; Mammalia; Didelphimorphia; Didelphidae
Description: lncRNA (ENSMODG00000048155.1)
Source: RNAcentral
AUGGAGAAGCAACAAGCCAGAGUAGAAGAGGUGGAGCAAACCCUCCAGAAGGUGAAGCAGCAGGAGGAAAAAAGUGAGACCCAGAAUGCUGUCCUGGAUGCUGAGGUCCAGCAGCUGAAGUGUAGACUAAAUGAGGCCCACGAAGGCCAGAAGCUGAUUGUUCAGCAGCUGACGUAUGCUGAUGAACAGGCAGCUCUGCUAAAAGACAGCCUAAACCUUACCCAACAGAAACUGGAAGCUAAAAUAUCUGAGAAUAAAGAAAAGAAUGAUCUUAUCGACAGAUUAUCCAAUCAACUUGAAAGACAUCAAGAAGAUUCAUCCACAGCAGUGAAUCUACUGGAAACAGAAAGAAAGAAUCUUGAAAUUCUGACAUCAGAGCUUCAAGUAUCCAAUAGGAAACACCAGAAUGCAGAAAAGAAAAUUGCAGAACUUCAGAAAACAAUGGAUCAUAUGAAACCGCAGCUGAGACAAUGCAAGGAGAAGAUGAAGGAACUUGAGGAGCAGCUCAAAGAGGAACGUAAUAGUAAUAGGAUUCUACGAAAUCAACUGAAACAGCUAAAGAAUGAGCAAGAAGAUAGCCAAGACUUGAUGCUAAAUUGGAUGACCCAAGAAAAAGAGCUGAAGGAUCAAAUUAAGGCACUCAAGCUGGAGAUCCAAAACAAUAAGCAACUGGUGAGACAUGUUAUGUAG